UUUUGUUUUUUUUUUUAAAAAAAACCCUAGCUGAACGAAGCCCCACCCAACCCCCAGCUUUCUCACUCGCUCGCUCACACUCUCUAUAGUCUCUAACGGAGGCAGAGCUGGGAGUUCAGCUCGGUUCACCGCCAUCGAAUGCUCGCAGCCGUCCCCGCGCGUCUCGCCGGAUCCUCCACGUCAUAUGCUCGCGUCUGGCCUCUCUCCUCCAUCUGAGCUCGGCUGCUUGUCCCUCUCUCGCCUCCGCAUCUGCUCGAGCGGUGCUUCCUGCUCGUGUCGUCGCCGCGCCUCCCUCGCCUCUCUCCCUCCUCACAUCUCUGCUCGAGCUUUGUGGUCCCUCGCGUGCUCGUUGCCGGCGGUCUUGCUCCCUAUCGUUCAUAUUCUGCUAGUUCUCCGCGUUGUAAACAUAAGACGGACUGCCGCAGUGCCGCCAGCUUCUCCGCGUCACAUCCUUGCUCCUUUUCCUUCAUGCUCUUCUUUUUGGAAGACCACCGAAGAGUGGUGAGCUGCUAUCAUUUCCACCUCAUCAUGCCUCAUGUGAUGCUACUCAACGGCGAUGAUCGGCUACAAAGUUUGUAGCUACCACCACCACCACCACAAGCACGUUGCUUUCCUCAGCCUCAUACUCUUUGGGUUUUCACUUCUCCAUCACCUUUGCCACGGACCUUGUGAUUCAUAUGAACAUGUCCCGCAGUGAGUUUAUCUUUCAUUGGAUUCAAGAUAUCUUAGUGGGUUCAAUCUAUCUAAACUAAGGUAGACUACAAAUUUCAUGGCAGGCAGUGGCCUGACAUCUUUGGGUCGUGUGAAGCUCACUGAUUUAGUUCCUUUGGAAGGGUUGCCAUCUGAUGCCUAUAAAAUAUCAGUUUCAAUUUUGUCACAAUCAUUGGCUCAGUUUUCAGCUGUCAUUGUCCAAUUUCCAGAAAGUGACGGGUCUCUUCUAAGAUCUGGUUUAGAAUCUGCCCGCCUCUAUUUCCAUCAAAGAGAAUCAUACCCCCCUGCAGAUAUAAUCCAUACCGCUGAGUCUCGGGAGUGGUGCAAAACAUCUGGUUAUUAUGCAGAUCCUCAUUUGUGGCAAGAAAGCUAUGAUUAUAGACCGGGAUUAACUCCUUCAGAACCAAACAACUCCAUUGAGUUCCCUCCUGCUGGUUUGCAAGAUAUGUUUGCUUCAUUUGGAAAAGCAGCAAGGCAUAUUCUGGACGCAAUUAGCUUCCAUUUGAAUUUGCGUAGCUUUCCGUUUGCUGAAAUACUGGAUAAUGUUCCCCUUAGAAAUAGGGAAAUUUCUUCUUCAGUCUUAUCUGUUUGCUGUCAUGCUAGGCCAUCAUUUCAGGAGCCACAGCAUCAUAAUAUAGCUACUCAAGAGGAUGGCCAAAUUGUUAUGUAUCCUGACCAGGAUCACCAUGUUGAUAAAGGCUUGAUAUCUAUUGUCAAGUCUGACAAGGCUGGUUUACAGGUAAGAGACUUUCAAGGUCGAUGGAUUCUUGUGGAUGGAGAUCUUGGACCUCAGGAAGCUGUUGUUUAUCCUGGUCUUGCUCUCUAUCAAGCCACUGCAGGGUAUGUAAGCCCUGCAUUGCACAAAACUGAGAUUAACAUGGAGCCUAAUAUGUAUGGACGAUGUUCUUUAGCCUUUAAACUUCUGCCUAAAUCAAUGGCCAAUCUUGAUUGUUCAGAAAUGAGAGCGGCAGGUUAUGGAAUUGAAGCUCAGUUCCAGCUCCCCGUUCCAGUGGAUGAUUUUAUGCAAAGAUCUCAUCAAACUGAUCAUAUUUUUAAUAGGCCUGGUUUCCAGUGCUUCAAUUUUCCACCAACAAAUGAUGGAUCCGGGAAGACUAUAAGGAGGAGGAAGCAAAAUCCUAAAAGCAAACCUCUGCCACCUUCCAAGCGACUAAGGCUUGAGGCACAACGAGUUUUGAAAGAAAGGGUCCAAGAUAUUGCAGAUAAAAAAGGCAUCAAGCUGCGUUUCUGUAAUCUCAAGGAAUGUGAAAAUCACAUCCAUGCCUUAGACAGCCCAUGUGCGAAUAUACGAUUGGAGAUAGGGUGGCCACCUGGAGUUCCAUUUGUCCACCCCCAUGAUUUGCCUAACAAGGCAAAGUUGGGUUUUCUUGAGGCAUAUGAACCUGGUUGGACAGAAGCCCAUCAAAACUUGGACAGGCUAGUCAACACUCGGCUAACUUUAACAGUAGCGGGAGUGACCAGAACCAAGCAAGGGAUGAUAUUCAUAACUAGCCCAUCGUCGUCAUUAAUUAACCCCUCUGUAGUCGAAGAAUCAAACUUCUAGCAACAUAGAAGCAUGUUGAGAACAAUUAUUAGAUGUAAAAAGGAGCAAUGGACAUUAGGAAUGAAAGUGUUGGAUCAAUGCAAAGACCAAUAGAAAGAUAGACUCUUAUCUCUCUCUUGGUUUGUGCAUGUGUUUCCAUGGUUUGUCAGAGGAAUCAAUCACCCUGAUUUCCAGCAUAUGGGGAACAUGUGAUCAGGUUGUGAGGUUCUUGGGAGGAUAAUAAGCUUUUAGUUCUCAAUGCUUUGCUGGAUCCAUUUUUGGCUUGGUUCAAGUUUUCAAGUGGCGAAAAAUAAAUGACCAUUUUGUAUCUUCCUAAACUAAGAAGUGGGUAUCCAAAAUAUUUAACUAUUAAUUAAUAUGUACUGACUAUGUAAAAUUAUUUCACACAAUUAAUCAAUGAAAUUCAAAGAUUUAAAUGAUAA
RNA transcript from Arachis duranensis, 2694 nucleotides. RefSeq lists it as uncharacterized. Lineage: Eukaryota; Viridiplantae; Streptophyta; Magnoliopsida; Fabales; Fabaceae. The transcript is spliced from 6 exons. The record is from RefSeq and is a predicted model, not a curated record.